Molecule: long non-coding RNA, 126 nt
Organism: Xiphophorus hellerii (green swordtail)
Lineage: Eukaryota; Metazoa; Chordata; Actinopteri; Cyprinodontiformes; Poeciliidae
Exons: 3
Source: RefSeq, a predicted model, not a curated record
AAAUUGACUUUUCUGUCUCUUUAAAAACUCCUGCUCUUUCUGAAACUCCACCUUCAGAAAGUCAUCACAACAGCGGUCUUCUAUUAACCCUUAAACUGCGUUUUUACCAACGUUUCAUUAACAAAU